Molecule: non-coding RNA, 148 nt
Filed under: Nomascus leucogenys (northern white-cheeked gibbon)
Lineage: Eukaryota; Metazoa; Chordata; Mammalia; Primates; Hylobatidae
Source: Rfam by way of RNAcentral
GCCGGGCGUGGUGGCGUGCGCCUGUAAUCCCAGCUACUCAGGAGGCUGAGGCAGGAGAAUCACUUGAACCCGGGAGGUGGAGGUUGCAGUGAGCUGAGAUCGCACCACUGCACUCCAGCCUGGGCAACAGAGUGAGACUCCGUCUCAA